GGAUGCGAUCAUACCAGCACUAAAGCACCGGAUCCCAUCAAAACUCCGAAGUUAAGCGUGCUUGGGCGGGAGUAGUACUAGGAUGGGUGACCUCCUGGGAAGUCCUCGUGUUGCAUUCC
RNAcentral lists this ribosomal RNA (119 nucleotides) under Triticum aestivum (bread wheat). Lineage: Eukaryota; Viridiplantae; Streptophyta; Magnoliopsida; Poales; Poaceae. The record is from RNAcentral.